RNAcentral lists this ribosomal RNA (324 nucleotides) under uncultured bacterium. RNAcentral describes it as "bacterial SSU rRNA". It matches the Rfam family "Bacterial small subunit ribosomal RNA", at positions 30 to 334 of the family's 1533-position model. The record is from RNAcentral.
AUUGAACGCUAGCGGGAUGCCUUACACAUGCAAGUCGAACGAAGCACCUUGAUUUGAUUCUUCGGAUGAAGAUCUUGGUGACUGAGUGGCGGACGGGUGAGUAACGCGUGGGUAACCUGCCUCAUACAGGGGGAUAACAGUUAGAAAUGACUGCUAAUACCGCAUAAGACCACAGCACCGCAUGGUGCAGGGGCAAAAACUCCGGUGGUAUGAGAUGGACCCGCGUCUGAUUAGGUAGUUGGUGGGGUAACGGCCUACCAAGCCGACGAUCAGUAGCCGACCUGAGAGGGUGACCGGCCACAUUGGGACUGAGACACGGCCCAA